Molecule: ribosomal RNA, 253 nt
Filed under: uncultured bacterium
Lineage: Bacteria
Description: partial 16S ribosomal RNA
Rfam family: Bacterial small subunit ribosomal RNA
Source: RNAcentral
UACGGGGGGGGCAAGCGUUGUUCGGAAUUACUGGGCGUAAAGGGCGCGUAGGCGGAUACUUAAGUCGGGGGUGAAAGCCCGGGGCUCAACCUCGGAAUUGCCUUCGAUACUGGGUAUCUUGAGUUCGGGAGAGGUGAGUGGAAUGCCGAGUGUAGAGGUGAAAUUCGUAGAUAUUCGCAAGAACACCAGUGGCGAAGGCGGCUCACUGGCCCGGUACUGACGCUGAGGUGCGAAAGCGUGGGGAGCAAACAGG